This 406-nucleotide ribosomal RNA is filed under the name uncultured bacterium. RNAcentral describes it as "partial 16S ribosomal RNA". It matches the Rfam family "Bacterial small subunit ribosomal RNA", at positions 30 to 526 of the family's 1533-position model. The record is from RNAcentral.
AUUGAACGCUGGCGGCAGGCCUAACACAUGCAAGUCGAACGAGUGGCGGACGGGUGAGUAAUGUCUGGGAAACUGCCCGAUGGAGGGGGAUAACUACUGGAAACGGUAGCUAAUACCGCAUACCAUCGGAUUUGCCCAGAUGGGAUUGGCUUGUAGGUGAGGUAACGGCUCACCUAGGCGACGAUCCCUAGCUGGUCUGAGAGGAUGACCAGCGAGCAUGGAACUGAUACACGGGGCAGACUCCUACGGUAGGCAGCAGUGGGGAAUAUUGCACAAGGGUCGGAAGCCUGAUGCAUCCAGACCGCGUUUAUGAAGAAGGCCGUCGGGUUGUAAAGUACUUUCAGCGGGGAGGCGUUACCCGCAGAAGAAGCACCGGCUAACUCCGUGCCAGCAGCCGCGGUAAUAC